This 464-nucleotide ribosomal RNA is filed under the name Vreelandella stevensii. RNAcentral describes it as "partial 16S ribosomal RNA". It matches the Rfam family "Bacterial small subunit ribosomal RNA", at positions 338 to 795 of the family's 1533-position model. Lineage: Bacteria; Pseudomonadati; Pseudomonadota; Gammaproteobacteria; Oceanospirillales; Halomonadaceae. The record is from RNAcentral.
CCUACGGGUGGCAGCAGUGGGGAAUAUUGGACAAUGGGCGAAAGCCUGAUCCAGCCAUGCCGCGUGUGUGAAGAAGGCCUUCGGGUUGUAAAGCACUUUCAGUGGGGAAGAAAGCCUUGGGGCUAAUACCCUCGAGGAAGGACAUCACCCACAGAAGAAGCACCGGCUAACUCCGUGCCAGCAGCCGCGGUAAUACGGAGGGUGCGAGCGUUAAUCGGAAUUACUGGGCGUAAAGCGCGCGUAGGCGGUCUGAUAAGCCGGUUGUGAAAGCCCCGGGCUCAACCUGGGAACGGCAUCCGGAACUGUCAGGCUAGAGGGCAGGAGAGGAAGGUAGAAUUCCCGGUGUAGCGGUGAAAUGCGUAGAGAUCGGGAGGAAUACCAGUGGCGAAGGCGGCCUUCUGGACUGACACUGACGCUGGGGUGCGAAAGCGUGGGUAGCAAACAGGAUUAGAUACCCAGUAGUC